Molecule: long non-coding RNA, 1372 nt
Organism: Mya arenaria
Lineage: Eukaryota; Metazoa; Mollusca; Bivalvia; Myida; Myidae
Exons: 3
Source: RefSeq, a predicted model, not a curated record
CGUUUAGCUUAACAAUUGACCUUACGACAGCGGCUUCUGAGCCACGCCCCCUGAUAUCAAGGGAGCGAACUCUAUGUCCGUCAAACAAACGAGGAAGUAAAGGCGUCUCGCGUCGUUUCGCUUUCCGAUAUUCCUGACAAAUUAUCAUAAAUGUGACAUUACAAUGCGAAAAAAAUAGAAGUCAAAGGAAUUUGUAACUGGCUGCUACAUCGGAAGGCUCGAUAUAUCUUUAGAAAAUGACGAUAUCUAACAUUUACGGGGUGAAAUCUAUCCAAGUCAGAGAAAAUCGGAUAGCCGCCAUGUUGUCAACAUUGAAAUCAAUAAAAAGGAAAAGCGUGUGUGUGACGCAUACUGUAAAUGCAAACAAGGAAAUUGUGGAACAUGUUCACACACUCUGGCUGUAAAAGUAGACCUGGGAGGAAAAGUGCCCCCGGUGUGGGGCUCGAACUCACAACCACCAGAACACUAGCCCGGCGCUCUAACCAACUAAGCUGACCGGGCAGCUGGUUCUAACCCACACACACUACCCUCCCCCCAUUUACCGGUUAAGGCUGGUGGAGGGUCUUCUGCUAUUUACCGUUGACACCAUUAAAGUAUUCUGAUUGAUGGAGUUAAGGAAGUCCCCUUAUUAUUGUCUUCAACAAGACUACCGCCCCCCCCCCCCCCCCCCCCCCCACACACACACACACACACACACACACACAUGAUAUUUGCCAGUCCAGGCAAUGUCAACCGCAAGAGAAAACCAGUGAUGACAAGUUUUACAAAUAAUCGGAAAGUAUGGUCUUUUGAAGAGAGUUCUUGAAGUUGUUCAGCAUGUUGUUUUGAUGGAUUCUUGGAAGGAUGUACCUCUAUGAUGUUAGCUUCAGUUCUGGAGUAUAACACCAGUUGUUGCAUAUUUAAUAAGAUUUAUUAAAUACAUUGUUGUUUUGCAAACAUUACUUAAACUUUGAUAUUUCUUUGGUGUUUAUGUAUGAUAUUGUAGGUGAAUAUCUCUUUAUUGCAAUGGCAAAUAUAUUUUAAAAUAUAUAGCAUUAGCAGAAGUUAUUUUUCACUGUUAAAGCUGCACUUUCACAGAUUGAUCACUUUGACAACUUACACAGGAUUCGAUUGCAUUUAUCAUAUUUUGGCUCGGAGAAGUUUGCUUUGUGAUUUAUAUAUUAGGUCUUAAUUUAAAGAAUGCCAAAAUAAGCCGAUUCUGAGAUAAAAAGUGUCAAACUAGAAUUCUGUGAGAGUGCAACUUUAAGAAUACUGUUAAUCGAGUGUGAGUGUGCAUGUGAUCCGGACUCUGAACAUUGGAUGAACUAUCAUUAAAUAUUGUAGAUUUACGUAAAUGGCCCAAAAUAUAAGAAUAACAAUGAAAAUAUGUACA